Molecule: long non-coding RNA, 2729 nt
Filed under: Homo sapiens (human)
Lineage: Eukaryota; Metazoa; Chordata; Mammalia; Primates; Hominidae
Description: HSALNT0269874
Source: RNAcentral
CCUGGAUGCCGUGGCAAGCUUUGGGUGUUUUCUAAGCACAGAGGGACAUUCCUACUAGAGCUGCACAAGUCUCAGCCCAAGCAGGAGUGUCCCCUGGCUGUUAGAAAGCCAGAGCUUUGGGAGAGCAUGGCCUCUGAGUGUCAAGGCCCAUGGGGAUGUGACUCUACCAGGCUUCAAGCAGAACCCCAGGAGAGGAUGGAGGCAGAAAGGCUAUCUGCCUGGGAAAGUGAUGGCCUCUUCAUUCCCUCACCAAAGUCCCAUUUUUUAAAAAAGUUAAAAAUUGAUGGACAAAAUAUUGAACAUGCAGACUUGGCAGCAGAGGGAUAAACACAGGUGCACUUUGUCACAGUGACAGAGUCAAUGGGCAUUCAUUUCUAACACGGCAAGCAUCAUUUGAAUGAAGACAGCAGCCAUCAGUUAAAUAAAUAGUUAUGCUGUCCUAAGCUUGAGUGCUAGCUAGGCUCAGAGCACGGACUUGGGGCUCACUGACUGGCAUCUGUCAGCUUCUGAACUUGGUCCUGGUGUGGUUCCCUCAGAGCCCAGGGAGGUCGGGCAGGGGGUCUGUUCCAGGAGUGAGCAGGGAAUUCCCUCUGAUCCACUGACUUCAGAGCUGGUCAUGGAAGUUUUGAAAUGCAAUCCCUUUUUUUUAAGUAUAAAAUAAUAUAUGCUCAUGAGAGUGCAAAACCAAAUGAACCAUGACUGAAGGACAUAAGAAUAGGAAGAAAAAGCCUCCUACCUCCUUCAUCCCAACAUUGCAUUUUCCAGAAGUUUCCCAUACAUACACACACGGUAUGUCCAUCUUACAUUCCAGCAACUACAGUGGAUCCUCCUGUGUGUGCUGGUUUGCACUGGAUCCCACUCUAGGUGAAAGAUAAGAUGGACAUUCCUUUUCUCUGGUGGAUCCACUGGGACCUCUCUCCAUGUUACCUUCCACGGGGUGGAGGAGGUCCUGUCUGUCUUGGUCCCUGGUGCAGUUCCGUUUUGGUCCAGGAAAUAUUUCCAUUGAGUGGAGGGGCACAGCUCAGCCCCUGCCAACCUGCUGUGGAGUUGGAGCCUCCUCACUUGAGGCUGGGGGUGUGGGCGGCCAUAAACUCAUUGCCGUAAGCAGUUCUGCUACGGCAGAACCUUGUAUCUUAGACACGUGCACUAGUGCGUUGGGAGGGUAAAUUCCUAGAAGGCCAUUGUGAAGUCAAGGGUGCACGCGCUUUUAAUUUUGAUGGAUGUUGUCAGAUUGCUGCACGUCUGAGGAGGCAGCAGAUCAUUGACUCUUGGUGCAGUUUCAGUUCUUUUUUCUUGGAGCUUCCUGUGUUCUUCCUGUCCAAUCUUCUCAAGCCCAGAGGCACAUUGCUGGUGAAGAUUGAGGCCUCUGGAGCUGGCCUGAGGGGCUGUGAACCCAGCUUCUGUCCUUGCUGACUCUUCCCAGGCCUCUGUGUCCUCGUCUGAAGAAUGGGUGAAUGACAGUACUGACUUCAAGGGCGGAUCUGAGGCCUCAUGAACUCACCUCCCAGCCACCAGCAUCCCCAGAUCUCUGAGAUGAAAGCGGAGAUGGGCGAGCUCACUCACAAGCAGGGCCGCGCUGGUGUCAGCACCUUGGGCAGCCUCAGUCCUUCCUCUUGGAUCCGGCACUGGCAGGGCACCAGUGCGAAGAGGGCUGCCUGUUCAACUCCCACUGAAGCUACAGGUGAGUCCAGGCCUCGGUGCAAUGCAUGCUCUUGUGAUGGCCCCGGAGCCAAGCAAUUUUAUCAUCGUCUUGUAACUCAUCCACUACAUCUGACCUUUGGAUUCACAGAAUAAUUAAUGGGGCACUUUGGGUGGCGCUUGAAGUGUCAAGUUUUUAAUUAAUGUGCCGGACUGAAUAUACUUAGCUGGACCAUUCUGCCCAGUCCAUCCAAUUACCCAGACUCAUUAUGCAACUCGAUUGCGUUUUCCAUUACUCAGUGGCUUUGCUAAAUGGGAAUCUAUGCUGCAGACAGACAGCCCAGCGCUGAUAUUGAUUAGAGAGCACAGUUUAUUACCCAGUGGAGGCAAUGCUUGGGGUUGUAAAUCUCUUGCUGGACACAGCUUUUCUGCAGCCUCCAGGUGGGAGACGGAAUUGUAUUUGGAUGAAGCAUUUCAGCCAUCGACCCUCCUUCCAAACUUCCUCUGUGUCCUGCCCUUUGUUUAAUGGAAUUGCCUUUCCCUCGCCAACUCCCCCCUGUAAAUACACUCAGGGACUCCUCGUGCUUUAAUAGCUAACAUGGAUGCAUGGUAUUUUUCACCUUUCCCCGAGCUCCAGAAUGACACAAAGCAUUGAGCUUGCCAGGGAGCAUUAUAGCAGGAUCAGCCACAGGGGAGGAUGCUGAGCCUUCUUUGUUCUCGCUGGAUUUAGGAUGGAUCUUGUGCCAGACCCACCUUGUCUUGCUCUGCAGUGGCCUCCAGCCCUUGGUGAGAGAGGGAGGCAGCAGUCAGUUGGCGGUCGAAACUUGUGUUUAAGGUUGUGAUUAUAAUUCCAAGUGGAGAAACACUCCUCUCCCCACUGUAUCAAGGGUACUGUUUCAUACUCGAUAACCUCCUUCCACUCCUAUUGCCCCUUCAGCAUUGCUUCAAUGUGUUUUCCUAAUCUGUGGCACAGGCUGCAGCAGGGAAAAGAAAGAGAAAGAGUACAGGCUGGCGUGAUGGUUGGGCCGUGUCCCUCCACUGUGUCAAAGCUGAUGAACACCUAUUCCAUGCCGGGCACCGCACAUUUGCCA